GUUACUCUGCCACCGGGUAGAAAUGUGAAAGCAUUCGUUGCACAUCGUUAGGUCUUAGAAGAUGUGUAUAUGGGUGCUUGUUUUUGU
Molecule: non-coding RNA, 87 nt
Filed under: unclassified sequences
Source: RNAcentral